ACGGAGGGUGAGAGCGUUAAUCGGAAUCACUGGGCGUAAAGCGCGUGUAGGCGGUCUUAUCAGUCAAGGGUGACAUCCCCAGGCUCAACUUCGGAAGUGCGCUCGAAACUGUAAGGCUUGAGUACGGGAGAGGGAAGUGGAAUUCCUGGUGUAGAGGUGAAAUGCGGAGAUAUCAGGAGGAACACCGGUGGCGAAGGCGGCUCACUGGACCGAUACUGACGCUGAGACGCGAAAGCGUGGGGAGCAAACAG
RNAcentral lists this ribosomal RNA (251 nucleotides) under uncultured prokaryote. Its description in RNAcentral is "partial 16S rRNA". It matches the Rfam family "Bacterial small subunit ribosomal RNA", at positions 525 to 775 of the family's 1533-position model. The record is from RNAcentral.